AGUGAACGCUGGCGGUAGGCCUAACACAUGCAAGUCGAACGGCAGCACAGUAAGAGCUUGCUCUUACGGGUGGCGAGUGGCGGACGGGUGAGGAAUACAUCGGAAUCUACUUUUUCGUGGGGGAUAACGUAGGGAAACUUACGCUAAUACCGCAUACGACCUACGGGUGAAAGCAGGGGAUCUUCGGACCUUGCGCGAUUGAAUGAGCCGAUGUCGGAUUAGCUAGUUGGCGGGGUAAAGGCCCACCAAGGCGACGAUCCGUAGCUGGUCUGAGAGGAUGAUCAGCCACACUGGAACUGAGACACGGUCCAGACUCCGACGGGAGGCAGCAGUGUGGAAUAUUGGACAAUGGGCGCAAGCCUGAUCCAGCCAGACCGCGUGGGUGAAGAAGGCCUUCGGGUUGUAAAGCCCUUUUGUUGGGAAAGAAAAGUAGCAGGUUAAUACCCCGCUGUUCUGACGGUACCCAAAGAAUAAGCACCGGCUAACUUCGUG
This 492-nucleotide ribosomal RNA is filed under the name uncultured bacterium. Its description in RNAcentral is "partial 16S ribosomal RNA". It matches the Rfam family "Bacterial small subunit ribosomal RNA", at positions 29 to 507 of the family's 1533-position model. The record is from RNAcentral.